AUUGAACGCUGGCGGCAGGCCUAACACAUGCAAGUCGAGCGGUAACAGGAAGUAGCUUGCUACCUCGCGGACGAGCGGCGGACGGGUGAGUAAUGCCUAGGAAAUUGCCCUGAUGUGGGGGAUAACCAUUGGAAACGAUGGCUAAUACCGCAUGAUGCCUUCGGGCCAAAGAGGGGGACCUUCGGGCCUCUCGCGUCAGGAUAUGCCUAGGUGGGAUUAGCUAGUUGGUGAGGUAAUGGCUCACCAAGGCGACGAUCCCUAGCUGGUCUGAGAGGAUGAUCAGCCACACUGGAACUGAGACACGGCCCUU
Molecule: ribosomal RNA, 310 nt
Filed under: uncultured Vibrio sp.
Lineage: Bacteria; Pseudomonadati; Pseudomonadota; Gammaproteobacteria; Vibrionales; Vibrionaceae
Description: bacterial SSU rRNA
Rfam family: Bacterial small subunit ribosomal RNA
Source: RNAcentral